UACGAAGGGGGCGAGCGUUGUUCGGAAUUACUGGGCGUAAAGGGCGCGUAGGCGGCGACUCAAGUCAGAUGUGAAAGUCCUGGGCUUAACCUGGGGACUGCAUUUGAUACUGGGUUGCUUGAAUUCGGGAGAGGAUAGCGGAAUUCCCAGUGUAGAGGUGAAAUUCGUAGAUAUUGGGAAGAACACCGGUGGCGAAGGCGGCUAUCUGGACCGACAUUGACGCUGAGGCGCGAAAGCGUGGGGAGCAAACAGG
RNAcentral lists this ribosomal RNA (253 nucleotides) under uncultured bacterium. RNAcentral's name for it is "partial 16S ribosomal RNA". It matches the Rfam family "Bacterial small subunit ribosomal RNA", at positions 524 to 776 of the family's 1533-position model. The record is from RNAcentral.